This 501-nucleotide ribosomal RNA is filed under the name uncultured bacterium. RNAcentral describes it as "partial 16S ribosomal RNA". It matches the Rfam family "Bacterial small subunit ribosomal RNA", at positions 30 to 523 of the family's 1533-position model. The record is from RNAcentral.
AUUGAACGCUGGCGGCAGGCUUAACACAUGCAAGUCGAGCGGGGGAAGGUAGCUUGCUACCGGACCUAGCGGCGGACGGGUGAGUAAUGCUUAGGAAUCUGCCUAUUAGUGGGGGACAACAUCUCGAAAGGGAUGCUAAUACCGCAUACGUCCUACGGGAGAAAGCAGGGGAUCUUCGGACCUUGCGCUAAUAGAUGAGUCUAAGUCGGAUUAGCUAGUUGGUGGGGUAAAGGCCUACCAAGGCGACGAUCUGUACCGGGUCUGAGAGGAUGAUCCGCCACACUGGGACUGAGACACGGCCCAGACUCCUACGGGAGGCAGCAGUGGGGAAUAUUGGACAAUGGGGGGAACCCUGAUCCAGCCAUGCCGCGUGUGUGAAGAAGGCCUUAUGGUUGUAAAGCACUUUAAGCGAGGAGGAGGCUACUCUAGUUAAUACCUAGGGAUAGUGGACGUUACUCGCAGAAUAAGCACCGGCUAACUCUGUGCCAGCAGCCGCGGUAA